AAUCAACGCUGGCGGCGUGCCUCAGACAUGCAAGUCGAACGCGAAAGUUCCCUUCGGGGGACGAGUAGAGUGGCGCACGGGUGAGUAACACGUAGGUAAUCUACCUUUGGAUGGGGAAUAACAACCGGAAACGGUUGCUAAUACCGCAUAAUGCAGCGGCACCUAAUGGUGACAGUUGUUAAAGCGGGGGAUCGAAAGACCUCGCGUCUGAAGAGGAGCCUGCGGCGGAUUAGCUAGUUGGUAAGGUAAUGGCUUACCAAGGCGACGAUCCGUAGCCGGCCUGAGAGGGCGGUCGGCCACACUGACACUGACAUACGGGUCAGACUCCUACGGGAGGCAGCAGUGGGGAAUUUUGGACAAUGGGCGCAAGCCUGAUCCAGCCAUGCCGCGUGCGGGAAGAAGGCCUUCGGGUUGUAAACCGCUUUUGUCAGGGAAGAAACGCUCCGAAUUAAUACCUCGGAGUAAUGACGGUACCUGAAGAAUAAGCACCGGCUAACUACGUGCCAGCAGCCGCGGUAAUACGUAGGGUGCAAGCGUUAAUCGGAAUUACUGGGCGUAAAGCGUGCGCAGGCGGCUUUGCAAGACAGAUGUGAAAUCCCCGGGCUUAACCUGGGAACUGCAUUUGUGACUGCAUGGCUGGAGUGCGGCAGAGGGGGAUGGAAUUCCGCGUGUAGCAGUGAAAUGCGUAGAUAUGCGGAGGAACACCGAUGGCGAAGGCAAUCCCCUGGGCCUGCACUGACGCUCAUGCACGAAAGCGUGGGGAGCAAACAGGAUUAGAUACCCUGGUAGUCCACGCCCUAAACGAUGUCAACUGGUUGUUGGACGGCUUGCUGUUCAGUAACGAAGCUAACGCGUGAAUUUACCGCCUGG
This 870-nucleotide ribosomal RNA is filed under the name uncultured bacterium. RNAcentral's name for it is "bacterial SSU rRNA". It matches the Rfam family "Bacterial small subunit ribosomal RNA", at positions 28 to 876 of the family's 1533-position model. The record is from RNAcentral.